This 26-nucleotide non-coding RNA is filed under the name Mus musculus (house mouse). The record is from RNAcentral. Lineage: Eukaryota; Metazoa; Chordata; Mammalia; Rodentia; Muridae.
UGAGGACAAUGGGCAAAGUAAGGAAG